RNAcentral lists this ribosomal RNA (253 nucleotides) under uncultured bacterium. Its description in RNAcentral is "partial 16S ribosomal RNA". It matches the Rfam family "Bacterial small subunit ribosomal RNA", at positions 524 to 776 of the family's 1533-position model. The record is from RNAcentral.
UACGGGGGGGGCAAGCGUUGUUCGGAAUUACUGGGCGUAAAGGGCUCGUAGGCGGCCAACUAAGUCAGACGUGAAAUCCCUCGGCUUAACCGGGGAACUGCGUCUGAUACUGGAUGGCUUGAGGUUGGGAGAGGAAGGUGGAAUGCUUGGUGUAGAGGUGAAAUUCGUAGAUAUCAAGCAGAACACCUGCGGCGAAGGCGGCCUUCUGGACGAUGACUGACGCUGAGACGCGAAAGCGUGGGGAGCAAACAGG